This 504-nucleotide ribosomal RNA is filed under the name uncultured bacterium. Its description in RNAcentral is "bacterial SSU rRNA". It matches the Rfam family "Bacterial small subunit ribosomal RNA", at positions 25 to 518 of the family's 1533-position model. The record is from RNAcentral.
CAGGAUGAACGCUAGCUACAGGCUUAACACAUGCAAGUCAGGGGCAGCAUGUUGGUUGCUUGCAACCAAUGAUGGCGACCGGCGCACGGGUGAGUAACGCGUAUCCAACCUCCCCUUAGUAGAGGAUAGCCCGGCGAAAGUCCGGAGUUAAUACUCUAUGUUCUUCAAUGCGGACAUCUAAGUUGAAGCAAAGAUUUAUCGCUAAGGGAUGGGGAUGCGUCUGAUUAGGUUGCAGGCGGGGUAACGGCCCACCUGGCCUACGAUCAGUAGGGGUUCUGAGAGGAAGGUCCCCCACACUGGUACUGAGACACGGACCAGACUCCUACGGGAGGCAGCAGUGAGGAAUAUUGGCAAUGGGCGCGAGCCUGAACCAGCCAAGUAGCGUGCAAGGACGACUGCCCUAUGGGUUGUAAACUGCUUUUAUCAGGGAAUAAAGUGAGGCACGCGUGCCUUUUUGUAUGUACCUGAUGAAUAAGGACCGGCUAAUUCCGUGCCAGCCGCCGC